RNAcentral lists this ribosomal RNA (106 nucleotides) under bacterium. RNAcentral also lists the same sequence under 1 other name. The record is from RNAcentral.
CCUGGUGCUUUGGCGGAAGGGAUAUACCCGUUCUCAUUCCGAACACGGCAGUUAAGUCUUCCAGCACCGAUGGUACUCGUAUGGGGAGAGUAGGUCGGCGCCAGGA